This 85-nucleotide transfer RNA is filed under the name Felis catus (domestic cat). It matches the Rfam family "tRNA". From Rfam's summary of the family: Transfer RNA (tRNA) molecules are approximately 80 nucleotides in length. Their secondary structure includes four short double-helical elements and three loops (D, anti-codon, and T loops). Further hydrogen bonds mediate the characteristic L-shaped molecular structure. tRNAs have two regions of fundamental functional importance: the anti-codon, which is responsible for specific mRNA codon recognition, and the 3' end, to which the tRNAs corresponding amino acid is attached (by aminoacyl-tRNA synthetases). tRNAs cope with the degeneracy of the genetic code in two manners: having more than one tRNA (with a specific anti-codon) for a particular amino acid; and 'wobble' base-pairing, i.e. permitting non-standard base-pairing at the 3rd anti-codon position. The record is from Rfam by way of RNAcentral. Lineage: Eukaryota; Metazoa; Chordata; Mammalia; Carnivora; Felidae.
GCCUGGGUGGCUCAGUCGGUUGAGUGUCUGACUUCGGCUCAGGUCAUGAUCUCGCAGUUUGUGAGUUCGAGCCCCGUGUCAGGCU